AUGGGCCAGGACCGUGCGUCACCCACCUCGCGCAUCCCCGAACCGGAGAAGAUCCUCAACCUCAUCCGCGCCCAGAGCAAGCCCGUCCCCCUCGAGCCGGAGCACUACAAACCCAAGACCGAGACCUUCAUCAAGAUCGAGCGGGACGACCCCUUCGGCACCCGCGGACGCGGCGACGGCAUGGAGCUCAACGGCCGACGCAACUCCUCCUUCGACCGGGACGACCUCACCGUCUUCCGCGAGAAGUAUGGCUCCCUCCUGGACAAGCGCUCGCCAAGCCUCAACGAAACCGACAUCGGGUGGUACAGCACCCCCGCCCGGAAUCUGAGCCACCGACGGAAUCUCCUCGAGUCGAAGAUCGAGGACAAGCAGCGGCGCCUCACCCUUACGGCCGGCCAGCUCAACCUCAACAACCAGAAGAACAAUAAGCUCAGCGAGCUUCUGGACGACACCUCCGACCUGACAAAGAACCGGUAUUUCGAGACGAAGAUGGUUCACGAGUCCAGCGAGCAAAGGCGGCAUUCGCUCAAGAAGGAUGUCUCCGACUCGGGCGUGGAGCUGAGCGACUACCGGAAGGAGUCGCUGAACGGCUACGCUCGCAAGAUCGAGCCACCCCCGCGGGCGAAGCUGGAGAACAAGGCGCUGUACCACCAGAGGGUGGUGUCGACGAGGACCCAUUCGGAGGUGCCCAAGGUGGAGCGGCCACCCCGGAGCAAGCUGUCGAGCAAGAGCUUCUCGGCGACGAAGACGGUACAGGAGAAGAAGCGCGAGGCUGUGCCGAGUGGCGCCACGCUGGUGCGGCGCUACAGCCAGAACGAGACGACGCGGUACCGGAUCGAGCCGAAGACGGCGCCCGGGGCCCUGGCGGCGCCGGAGAAGAAGCUCACCAAGAUGGAGAAAGUGAAACAGUUUUUCGGUGUGAACGCGAAGAAGAAGCGGGCCCGGAAGAGGUGGUUGUGCAGCGGUACCGGGAGUACAAGGGCAGUGAUACCGAUGACCCAUCUUCGUCCGAGAUUCGUCGCCGUGCUUCCACUCAAGAUUCGGAUAACCCUACUUACGAGCUCAUCAGAAGUUAUAGCAGCCUUCAUCCGACCCGGUUCUUUUUUCGGCGUUUCGGGGAUGACUAUAUACAUGAUAUUAGGCUUCCACUUGCUGGUUUGGGUUUCUUUGGACCUAGGGUUACCUUUGGACCUAAGGUUACUUUUUUUGGCAGCAGGCGUCUUCUGUAACUCCAAAGAUGACAGCCGAAUCAGCCUCAAAUACUCGAAAUAUCAGCAUAUCCCCAAAAUCAAAGGUAAAUCAUCAAGCAUGUCAGGUUGAACGAUUCCGAUGCUUGAAUUUCCUAACUUGAGGACCGAGCGAGAGGAUAUCGGAUUAAAGCUUGGAGCAGUCUUAAGAAACAGUUGAUAUUCUGAAAUAACAUUAGAUUAUGAACACGUUACUCACCAAUGAAUAUCCAAUCACAAAAGCCUUGAAAAUGCACCAAACACACAAUUUCACUGCUUGGAAGUACCUAACACAGUCAUAGACUCGAAACAAUUUAAAGGUUAAGUUUCAUACGAUGUCACACUACCCGGACCAAAAUUAGAAGUUGCGCACAAUUUUUUGUCUUACAAUAUCCAUAUUUUACAUCGUAGACAAUUUCCUUAGAUUAAUUCCGAGAGAUUUAGGUUUAAUUAAACAAUAUAAUAAAAUGUAAACAAAUCGCAAACACUUUACUGAUAAAACAAUUGGCUGUUGCGCAAAUUUAAACUAAUUGUAAGAUGAGUACAAGUGUACUAUUUUUGAUUCCGAAUAAAUCUUUAAAAC
Molecule: long non-coding RNA, 1809 nt
Filed under: Bemisia tabaci
Lineage: Eukaryota; Metazoa; Arthropoda; Insecta; Hemiptera; Aleyrodidae
Description: lncRNA ENSSSA2NGG004743
Source: RNAcentral